Molecule: long non-coding RNA, 3054 nt
Organism: Manis javanica (Malayan pangolin)
Lineage: Eukaryota; Metazoa; Chordata; Mammalia; Pholidota; Manidae
Source: RefSeq, a predicted model, not a curated record
UCAAGAAUUUUGUGAUGUCAUAACUGGAGAAAGCCUCAGAAGUCUUAAAGCCAAGUAAUGAAAUCUUCGCCCAGAAGCUUGGGGGUGGGGGGAGGGCGGUACGCCGCUGAGCUGCGUGUAACUCCUCAGAGAGCACGUGCCCUUCAUUUCUGGUUUAGUGCCAGAGGUGGGGGUGGGAGCAGAUGGGUCUCAGCUGCCCCCGCUGCUGAAGGCGCCCUCCCAGGGCCGCAGACGCCUCCCCGCUCCUUCUCCCUUGGCCCCUGCGCCCAUCCCACUUACGUUCAUUGGGUGCUAGGCACUGCUGUAGCCCGCUGAGCAGCCCCCAUCCCCAAGCAAAAGCCCCUGUUCCUCUGGUGAUUUAAGUUGUAGUGACCUAAUGAAUGAAACAUAAACAAAUUAGAUAGUAUGAAGAUUUAAGCGCCGUGGGAAAGACGAAUGUCGGGUGAUAAAGGUGAGCUCCAGAGAGAGGGGUGAGCGGCCUUCUGAAGAGGAUGCACACCUCCCGCAGCCUCUGCCUGCAGGAGCGUCAGUCCUUCGGCUGUCCGUCUCCCCUCCUCCCCCUGCCGCGGUUCCAACGCUCAGGCCCACCCUGGAUCCACCCCGCUGCCACUCCCCGAACACUGGGCACCCAGUGACACGCACCUCGACGAAGCUGGCAGCCGACACGCCACCACUGCCCCUUGGGCCCCCCUUCCCUCUGGCUCCAGGCAAUCAAAAGGGUAAAUAAGGGUGCAGUCUUUCCUCCAAGUCUGUAAGGCCGUCUCCAUGUGAGCAGGACGCUAAGGCCCCAGGGGCUGCAGAAGGACCGUCCCCUUCUGCUCUCAGUGUGGCAGGAGAAAUGAAGGAGGGGUACUGUGAGCACGGAGCCGAAGCAUCUCGUCAGAGAGACAGAAAGAGCGAGUGCGCGAGAAGUUCAACGGGGCAGGAAGACUGAGAAGGGAAGCGUCCAUCCUAAUGUUCACAGAGCCCUGCAGAAGGUGUGGUGAUGUUAGAUUAAUGUGCUCUUGGUGGUUAAUUCACAAAAGUGGCUGGUGUUUUUUAUCAUCAGCAUUUGGUAGGUGGUCUCAUUGGCGACCGAGCCUAGUUGCUGAGGGGGCCACUUGCGCCUCGGAUCUGUAUAAGCCAAAGACUGUAUGUUUUCACAUUUCAUCCUAAAACCACUCCUUUGAGGAAGAUACUGUUGUCCUAUUUCACAGAUGAGGAAUGAAGGCACAGAGAGGUUAAGUGCCUUGUCAGAGGGCACACAGUAGGUGGCACAAAGUCAAGGUGGCACCCAGGCUGGUGUGAGCCCAGAGCUGGGGCUCCAUGCUCUCAUGAGAAGGGCUUUGCACCCAGGGGCCUUUCUGCCCCCCACAUGCCCGGAGGUGUUAGCUGGCCAGGCCUGCUGUAAGAAAGUGCCGGUGACUGGUGGCCUACGCAACAACAGAAAUGUGUGGCCCCUCAGCUCUGGAGUCUGGAAACCCCCAGUCAAGGUGCUGGGACUCUGAGGGCCAGGACCUGCCCCGGGAGUUCCCUGCUGGCUUACAGGCGGCCGUCUUCUCUCUGUCCCUCUUCACAGCACCCUCGCUCUGAGUACAUCCCUGGCCAGAUUUCUCCCUUUGUCAAGGACUCCAGUCAUACUGGAUUACUGUCUAUCCCAGUGACUUUCUUUUGAGUUGAACUUCUUCCAACUUUGUACAGACCCUGUUUCCAAAGCACGUCACAUUCUGAGGUCCUGGAGGUACAGAUCUGUCUGACACUGUGAGGGGCCCCCAAGUCCACCCACAGUGGCAGGCAGAUCUGCUGGACUCAUGCCCUGGCACGUGUGCUUCAGAUGCUCUGUUUGCAGCAAGGGGACUUUUUCUAGUUGCCCGUUAUUGUCUUUGUCCAUUUUAUUUAAUCUGAUGACUAUCAGCCAUGAACCCGGCUCCCUCCCAAGCAGAUCUGCCCGCAGGAGUGAGUUUUGGGUCAGUCACGAGUUCGCGGGCUCCAACCGAAUCAGCCAGGCCACCGGCAGCGGUGGAACUGGCUCAGGCGGGCAGGAUGAGCUCCUGGGGGCUCCAGGCAUCCCUCCUGCAGCCCCAGGUCUGACGGUCUUGCUCCUGUUGCAGCAGGGAACGCGAGUGAAGCCGAUGUGGCUUUGGGAUUUUCCACCCUGCAUGUGCCUUUUAAAAUUAAACGUGAACCAGAGUAAAAGUCAAGGCCCUGGAAUCUCAUUCUGCCCUUUGCUCAUCUUGCCAUGUAUGGUCGGUUCUCUCUCACAACUUAAGAGGGUCCUGAAAACCCCCUUCAUUUAAAAGCAUUCAUGGCCUGAUAGGGGGUUUGUCAAUGGCUCCCAGACCGCUCCUGUUCCCCAGCCUAAGUCCAGUCCCAGGCCUCCCUCUCCCUCCAAGGGACGCUGACGUGUCCGUCUCUCUCCCUGGCUUCCCAGGUCUGUGGAAGGCAGCCCUGUGGAGGUGGAGAGAGCCGGACUUGAAACCAGGACACUGGGCUUUCUUUUUUGCCUCAUCCCUUGGGCCACAAGGGUGAACCUGGGUGAGCCAUUUAGCAGCUCCCCUCCCCAUGUGGUCAUUUAUCCAACGGAGACGAAAGUCCCUGCCUCGCCUGCCUUCCAGGCGCUCGUGACGGCAGAGAGGGGCUCAGAGGAGCUGAUGCCAACACAAAGCAAGCUCUGAUCUUGCACUGUGUCCAUCUGAGGACAUGUCACCAGGACCGCUUUGUCGUCUGUGUUCCGCACGUGCGUGUCUGAGCCCGGCCGUGAAUUCAGAGAGAGCAGCUUCGCGCACUCAGGCCCGAUGCACGUUGGCUGAGGCAUGAAAGCCAGUCUUGGAGAAGAAGGAAAAGGCCAGUGGGUGACCAAGGGCCCAAAGAAGGUCGUACACAGCGAGCGGGGCUUGUUUUCUCUGGAUCACAAAGGUUUUACAGCCACGGCAGUCGCUGGACGUGGAUCUAAAGUGUCAGACAGCCACUGCUGUCCUGAUGCGAUGUUUAGGAAGUUAUUUUUAGUCAACCUUAUGAUCGAUAUUCUUGCCACUCCUUUGUGUCUUAAUUAAAGCAGAUGGAAAAUGCCCUUUG